This is a long non-coding RNA of Bombus terrestris (buff-tailed bumblebee), 2918 nucleotides long. RefSeq lists it as uncharacterized. The record is from RefSeq and is a predicted model, not a curated record. NCBI's taxonomy places the organism in Eukaryota, Metazoa, Arthropoda, Insecta, Hymenoptera, Apidae. The transcript has 4 exons.
AAUAGUUAGUUUGAAAUAAUACUGGAUGGAGUAUUAUUUAUGUACUUUUUUCCAUUGUGUAACGUUCUUUUUUAUUUUUUACUGACUUUUUUCAACUUUUCUAAGAAAAGAUCUGUUUCUAAAGAUCAUAUUAUAAAAAAUAAUUUAUAGAAUAACUAUGAUUGGAAAGAAUGAAGAAAGGAAAUAAAGAUUCAAGAGAAGAUGCAUUUCUAGAACUCCUUUUAGUAGAAUUAAUAUAGGAUGCAAGAUUUGCAAUUUUUUCAAGGCAUUAUAAAGACCAAUUCACAUCAAAACAUCAAGAAAUAAACCAACAUCUUUUAUCCAUCUAAAUUACCCUGAAGACUCACUAGAAAAAGCUUAAAUGACUAUAGUGAUUGCAUGAGGAAGAGGUUCAAGUUGAUUCUAGCUGUGACGAGUAGAAGAAACGUGGAAUGAGGCGAAAAGAGGAACAGGAAGGCUUCAAUCGAGCUGGAACAGGCAGAACAAAAAGGAGAGUGAAAGAAAAGAACGGGGAGAAAGAAAAGUCAGGGAGCAAAAGUGUACGUGUGCAUGAAAGAACUCGAGAGGGAUGGCUCGGUUAUUUAUAGGAUUACAAUAACGUGACUUGAUAAAAUGCCAGGCGACACAGUCUUGCGCCGCGAGAAUAAUUGUGGGUGUACGCACGUGCACCACGCAACAUUAUGGCUUGAUGACUAUGCACACCCUACAGAACAAGAAUUCUACUAUGUUCUGUGUAAACAUUUUUAGAGACAGUUAGCUUAAGUUUAAGCAAUUCUGAAAAUUGUAGAGUAUUUAAAUUUUUUAAUUUUUUAGGUGUCUAGAUUUUUUAAUUUUAGUUGUAGGAUUUAAUAAAAUUUUUGAACAGAUUUCAGAAUCUUUAGUUUUUUAAUUUUGGCAUUAAUGAAAAUUUGGGAAAGAUUCUAAGAAUUUUAACUGUAUAAUUUUUUGUUUAAGAUUAAUAAAUUUUGUCGCAAAGAUUUUAGGAAUUUUAAUCUUAUAAUUUUGGAAUUAAUGAAAUCUUGAAUUUAUUGAAUUGCGUAAUUUAAGAAUAAAAGUAUAAAUUUGUAGAAUAUAUUUAAAAUUAGGAAUAAGGAACUCAUACAAAUUGUAAAUACCUUUGUACUAAGAAUUUUCUAGUAGCUUGUGCCCAAUUACUUUAAUAUCAUUUUCUAUAUCAGUACUUGAAAUUUGAUGACAUUACAGAUAUUUAAGUUAGUUCAUCACAGUCACAUAAAGAAUAUAAAUAAUUUGACACGCAUCACUUACCUUUUUACUAGAUUUGAAGACAUUGCACUUAAACGUGUUACUGCUUCCAUCACGGGCAAUGUAACUAAAAAUUUUCAAGUCGUGGCUAUCAUGAGAGACGUAGAAUAUCCUGUAACAAAUAUAAACAAUCACUAAAUCAAAUCACUAAAAGAACCUGCAGAUCUACAAACAAGUAUUUCCAAAUAGAAUAUAUAAAAAAUGAUUAUAAAAAGAUACUACACAGUAGAAACCGGUUAAUAUAAUUUUAUAAUUAUAAAACAUUUGUACAUAAUUAGAUUAAGGAUUGAUCAGAAGUUACGGUAAUUGGUGAACUAUAGCAAACUUGUUCUUGUACACAGAGUACGCAGGAUGUUCCCAUGAGAGGAGCGAACGAUUUAGCUUACCUAUAUAUGGGGUGGUGCAUCAGGUAUAUUUUAUUCUCGUCCAUCCACUGUUGCUGCUUCUUCUGUGAAAACAAAGGACAAGUAACGACUCAUUAAUCCCAUGAUUUGUAGGUUAAUCUCGGACGAAAGAAUUGAAGCUUAGAAUAGUGUGUCUCGAAUGUAAUAUGACACUUGAUUGAGAAAGAAAAGUUAGGUUAAGAAAGUAUACGUGACGCUCAUAAUAGACGGAGAGAAAUAAAGAUGUUUCUGUUUUAAAUUUGGAUCAUCACAUUGAUGAAAUAUGUACACAUGAAAACAUUGUUUUUUUUUUCACGUGAUGUUUCAUUUUAGAACAGAUUUACUCCCGCUGAAUGAUAAUGGACAACAAAAUGUAAAUAUAGUCAAGAGGUAUACAUAUAUUACAGACCAAUGCAACAAGCCAAAAAGCAUGGCGUAAUAAAUCAGACCCUGCUGUUUUGAGUAAUUCAUAUGUUAACGUUAAAAUAUUACGAUGCAAUCUUCUGUUUUUAGCGGCAAUUUUUAUUGCUUUAUUCAAUAUCUCUGUACAUAUUGUAUUUCGUUUAUCUGUUUCAGAUACAAGAUGAGAUUUCAUUCAACUGACAAAUUCUGCGAAAGAAUGUUUGACACCUAUUUUUUUAUAUUUGGUAUUCAAAGCUUGUAAUUUGAUAUUCUAAGCUCAGUACUCAGCAUUUGAUACUUAAUUUCUACAACUUAAUAUCUACAAUUUAUUUAAUUAUUUAACGCUUGGUAUUCAUUAACCAGAACUUAAUAUCGCUUAGAACAGUGUAUUUAACUCACAAUAUUUUACAUUCCUUUCUUAGUAUUCAUAUUUAAUAAUAUUCACUAUUAUGUUCUCAACACGUAUUUAAACUUUAUCUGCUAUCCUCGCAAAGUACAAUGCAUAUUACUAAAACCUUAUUAUGCUUUCCCCAAGAAAUCAAAUCUGUGCUAGACGAUCAUCCAUUAGAGCAGAGGUCCUCAACUUAGUGUACAAGUUCCCUGGGGGUAUCCGGGAAAGUUUUUGAGGGCACAUGCGAACCCUAAAGAACCCGAAAUGAUUGAAAACCGCUGCAUUCCAGAGUGGACAAAUUUGAAGAUAUGAACGACAGAUGACAUCGUCGCAUAUACACAUACAGAAGAAUAAGGGAAAAAAUAAGAAGCAGAAAGGGAAAAAUUAAAAACAGAGCUAAUAAUGCAGUUAUGACGGACACGCAAUAGCGAGCAAUCAAUCGGAUAACGAGCACGAGUACAAGGGCAAUUACCUUCUUC